RNAcentral lists this ribosomal RNA (253 nucleotides) under uncultured bacterium. RNAcentral's name for it is "partial 16S ribosomal RNA". It matches the Rfam family "Bacterial small subunit ribosomal RNA", at positions 524 to 776 of the family's 1533-position model. The record is from RNAcentral.
UACGUAGGGUGCGAGCGUUAAUCGGAAUUACUGGGCGUAAAGGGCGCGUAGGCGGCGUGGUAAGUCAGCUGUGAAAUCUCCGAGCUUAACUCGGAACGGUCAGCUGAUACUGCUGUGCUAGAGUACAGAAAGGGCAAUCGGAAUUCUUGGUGUAGCGGUGAAAUGCGUAGAUAUCAAGAGGAACACCUGAGGCGAAGGCGGGUUGCUAGGCUGAUACUGACGCUGAGGCGCGAAAGCUAGGGUAGCAAACGGG